AAUCAACGCUGGCGGCGUGCCUAACACAUGCAAGUCGAACGCGAAAGGGGCUUCGGCCCUGAGUAGAGUGGCGUCCGGGUGAGUAACGCGUGGGUAAUCUACCUUCGGGUGGGGAAGUAACCAGUCGAAAGGCUGGCUAAUACCGCAUAAUGCAGCGGCACGACAUCGUGACAGUUGUUAAAGGAGCAAUCCGCCUGAAGAGGAGCCUGCGUCUGAUUAGCUUGUUGGGUAGGUAAUGGCUCACCAAGGCUACGAUCAGUAGCUGGUCUGAGA
RNAcentral lists this ribosomal RNA (273 nucleotides) under uncultured bacterium. RNAcentral describes it as "partial 16S ribosomal RNA". It matches the Rfam family "Bacterial small subunit ribosomal RNA", at positions 32 to 297 of the family's 1533-position model. The record is from RNAcentral.